GCAAGUCGAACGCAGUAGCAAUACUGAGUGGCAGACGGGUGAGUAUAAUGUGGGUAUCUGCCUUUUGGUUUGGAAUAACUCGGGGAAACUUGAGCUAAUACCGAAUAAGCCCUUACGGGGAAAGAUUUAUCGCCGAAAGAUGAGCCCGCACUUGAUUAGCUUGUUGGUGAGGUAAAAGCUCACCAAGGCAACGAUCAAUAGCUGUUCUUAGAGGAAGACCAGCCACAUUGGGACUGAGACACGGCCCAGACUCCUACGGGAGGCAGCAGUAGGGAAUCUUGCACAAUGGGGGAAACCCUGAUGCAGCGAUGCCGCGUGAGUGAAGAAGGCCUUUGGGUUGUAAAACUCUUUCGUCGGGGAAGAAAAUGACUGUACCCGAAUAAGAAGGUCCGGCUAACUUCGUGCCAGCAGCCGCGGUAAUACGAAGGGAUCUAGCGUAGUUCGGAAUUACUGGGCUUAAAAGAGCUCGUAGGUGGUUAAAAAAGUUGGUGGUGAAAUCCCAAGGCUUAACCUUGGAACUGCCAUCAAAACUUUUUAGGCUUGAGUG
RNAcentral lists this ribosomal RNA (547 nucleotides) under uncultured marine bacterium. RNAcentral's name for it is "bacterial SSU rRNA". It matches the Rfam family "Bacterial small subunit ribosomal RNA", at positions 57 to 648 of the family's 1533-position model. The record is from RNAcentral.